This 83-nucleotide transfer RNA is filed under the name Candidatus Fermentithermobacillaceae bacterium. Its description in RNAcentral is "tRNA-Ser". The record is from RNAcentral. Lineage: Bacteria; Bacillati; Bacillota; Candidatus Fermentithermobacillia; Candidatus Fermentithermobacillales; Candidatus Fermentithermobacillaceae.
GGACGUUAGCGAACACUCCCGAAAAGUGCCAAAUCUGAAUGGCAUUCAGAAGGUCGUGGGUUCGAUUCCCUUCCGGUCCACCA